Symphalangus syndactylus (siamang) is the source of this 525-nucleotide long non-coding RNA. RefSeq lists it as uncharacterized. The record is from RefSeq and is a predicted model, not a curated record. NCBI's taxonomy places the organism in Eukaryota, Metazoa, Chordata, Mammalia, Primates, Hylobatidae.
UCCAGCAAUGCGAGAUUUCUGUAAAGGAUUUAAACGAGAAAAAAAAAAGGAAAAGUAAGCAGCCUGCAAAGAAAUGUUCAGAAAAUUCCAAGUGGAUGAGGCUUGCAGGAUUUGAUGAGAAUGAAGAUACUGCUGUGGAAAAUUGGCUGAUCAAUAUGAGCUCCAACGAACUUUUGUUUUUGUUAACAGUGUACCUCAUUCUCACGAAUAACUGUAGAAGGUACUGGGAAUGCAACAUCCUGAGAGAAGAAAGGACUGGCUAGAACCGCCCAGGCCCUGGUCCAGUUCCCUUGGAAACAGAAUGUCUUUCAGUGCUUUGUCCAGGGGGUAACUUCACCUUGGAGUAUAAAACCCAGGGUGGGCUGCUUUUGCGGGUCCCUAGCUGAGGUACAAGUGUGGCAUGCACAGACAGGACUACACCUCCCCCAGGCAGCUUUCCCCAGCCUUGGAGGACUAGCUUGCGAUGAAUCCCAGGUGCUGUUGGCCCUUGCUGCCUAUCUGUAAGUAAUAAAUCCACGUACGUGA